AUGGCUGUCGUCAGCUCGUGCCGUGAGGUGUUGGGUUAAGUCCCGCAACGAGCGCAACCCUCGGGGCUAGUUACCGUGUCUAGCCCGACUGCCGCGACAAACGCGGAGGAAGGUGGGGAUGACGUCAAGUCAGCACGGCUCUUACAUCCUGGGCUACACACGUGCUACAUUGGCGCAUACAGAGGGCUGCGAUACCGCGAGGUGGAGCGAAUCCCUUAAAGUGCGUCUCGGUUCGGAUUGCAGGCUGAAAUUCGCCUGCAUGAAGGCGGAGUUGCUAGUAAUCGCGGAUCAGCAUUGCCGCGGUGAAUACGUUCCCGGGCCUUGUACACACCGCCCGUCACACCACGGGAGUGAGCAACACCCGAAGCCGGUGGCCUAACCCGCAAGGGAGGGAGCCGUCGAAGGUGGGGCUCGUGACUGGGGUGAAGUCGUAACAAGGUAGCCGUAGCGGAAGCUGCGGCUGGAUCACCUCCUUUCUAGGGAGCACUACGGUGCCCCGACCGAAGCGACCGUCCGGCGUCGCGCUCGUUUAGAGCGCGGAUGGCCAGUUGGCAUUCGAGCGGUCGGGCCUAGCAUGUCGACCGAACCUGGCUGGAUGGCCGCGCCUCGCGCGUCUCCCUCUCUACUUGGGGAGCACAGCCGGACGUGGCCGCAACGACCCCAGCAUGCUGUUGAGUUUUGAGAGACCGGCGUCCGCCGGUCCGCGUUGGACGCGCCGUCAAAUGGCGCGACCGCUAAAGCGCGGCGCCGGCCGGCGUAUACGCCUCUCCACGGUCCUUGAAAACUGCGCAGAAGCCACAUCAGCCGCCAUCGAUAAGCGGCGGCUGAAAAACGGGUAUCACCGGGCCCUACGUGAUCGUCUGCCUCUAGGGGCGGGCGCACAUGUUGGGCCAGAUCACCGUCAAGAUAGUAAGGGCACACGGUGGAUGCCUUGGCACCAAGAGUCGAAGAAGGGCGUGAACGGCUGCGAUAAGCCACGGUUAGGCGCUGAAUAGCCUUUGACCCGUGGAUUCCCGAAUGGGGAAACCCGG
This 1031-nucleotide small RNA is filed under the name uncultured Solirubrobacterales bacterium. RNAcentral's name for it is "bacterial SSU rRNA". The stretch from base 1 to 476 matches the Rfam family "Bacterial small subunit ribosomal RNA", at positions 1045 to 1533 of the family's 1533-position model. The record is from RNAcentral. Lineage: Bacteria; Bacillati; Actinomycetota; Thermoleophilia; Solirubrobacterales.